This 430-nucleotide ribosomal RNA is filed under the name uncultured bacterium. Its description in RNAcentral is "partial 16S ribosomal RNA". It matches the Rfam family "Bacterial small subunit ribosomal RNA", at positions 354 to 796 of the family's 1533-position model. The record is from RNAcentral.
GUGGGGAAUAUUGCACAAUGGGCGAAAGCCUGAUGCAGCAACGCCGCGUGAGGGACGACGGCCUUCGGGUUGUAAACCUCUUUUAGUAGGGAAGAAGCGAAAGUGACGGUACCUGCAGAAAAAGCACCGGCUAACUACGUGCCAGUAGCCGCGGUAAUACGUAGGGUGCAAGCGUUAUCCGGAAUUAUUGGGCGUAAAGAGCUCGUAGGCGGUCUGUCGCGUCUGCUGUGAAAACUGGAGGCUCAACCUCCAGCCUGCAGUGGGUACGGGCAGACUAGAGUGCGGUAGGGGAGAUUGGAAUUCCUGGUGUAGCGGUGGAAUGCGCAGAUAUCAGGAGGAACACCGAUGGCGAAGGCAGAUCUCUGGGCCGUAACUGACGCUGAGGAGCGAAAGCGUGGGGAGCGAACAGGAUUAGAUACCCGUGUAGUCC